GGCAACCCUGACGGAGCAACGCCGCGUGGGGGAGGAAUGUCUGUGGAUUGUAAACCCCUUUUCUCAGGGAAGAAGCUCUGACGGUACCUGAGGAAUCAGCAUCGGCUAACUCCGUGCCAGCAGCCGCGGUAAUACGGAGGAUGCAAGCGUUAUCCGGAAUGAUUGGGCGUAAAGCGUCCGCAGGUGGCAAUGUAAGUCUGCUGUUAAAGAGUCUAGCUCAACUAGAUAAGAGCAGUGGAAACUACAUAGCUAGAGUACGUUCGGGGCAGAGGGAAUUCCUGGUGUAGCGGUGAAAUGCGUAGAGAUCAGGAAGAACACCGGUGGCGAAGGCGCUCUGCUAGGCCGUAACUGACACUGAGGGACGAAAGCUAGGGGAGCG
RNAcentral lists this ribosomal RNA (379 nucleotides) under uncultured cyanobacterium. RNAcentral's name for it is "bacterial SSU rRNA". It matches the Rfam family "Bacterial small subunit ribosomal RNA", at positions 376 to 770 of the family's 1533-position model. Lineage: Bacteria; Bacillati; Cyanobacteriota. The record is from RNAcentral.